Oncorhynchus kisutch (coho salmon) is the source of this 3917-nucleotide long non-coding RNA. RefSeq lists it as uncharacterized. The record is from RefSeq and is a predicted model, not a curated record. NCBI's taxonomy places the organism in Eukaryota, Metazoa, Chordata, Actinopteri, Salmoniformes, Salmonidae. The transcript has 2 exons.
CAAAGGGAACUACGUGGAGCUUCUUUCUUUUCUUUCUGAAAGCAACACAGAUUUACAAUACCACCUGUCCACUAACAAAGUGUUCAUUGGGACGUCAGGCAAAAUACAAAAUGACCUAAUUUAUGCUAUUGCUGAAGUGAUGGGAGAAGAGAUCAAAAUGGAGAUUAAAAAAGCUCCCUUUGUUGCGGUUAUGGUGGACGAGACAACAGAUGUGGGGAAUGCAGCACAGCUCUCACUCGUCCUGCGUUAUGUGACAGACACAGGAGUCAAGGAGCAAUUUAUCCGAUUUGAAGAUGUGACGAGAUGAUGACAUUGCCGCUCUUAUUUUCCGUUUCUUGGAGGAAAAUGAAUGUAGUCUGGAUAAAGUUGUGGCACAGUGUUUUGAUGGCGCAGCAGUCAUGGCAUCUGGACUCAAUUGGGGUGCAGGCUAAAGUUAAGGAGAGGGCCUUAUUCAUUCACUGUUAUGCACAUCGACUAAAUUUAGUACUGACUCAAGGAGCCUCAAAGCUUAACCACUUACUGGAACAUCAUGAUGACCAUGACGGGGAUACUGUGCUUAUGGCUGAAGGAUUUAAUGCACGUUUGGAUGAUUUUGAGUUUUGUUUUUUGCUUGAAACAUUCAAUGGGAUUUUUAAUUAUUCGGAUGUGCUUUUUGCAAUUCUACAGAAACAAACUUUGGAUGUACAAUUCUGCCUGACAAGGGUGAACGAGUUGUGACACAAUUGAGCGAGAGAGGCGCAGGUUCAGUCAAAUCUACGAUGACACAGCGCACAUCUCAAGUUCACCCAGCGCACGCAGAGGCCCAGCACAAGGAGACCACGAAAAAUUAAUGUUUCUCUCCCUCCUGGACCCCCAGCACUUUCAGACCUACUGGAAAAAAAUCCCGCAAAACAGCCUUCUCCAGCUUAACAGAGUCACGGAACACUGUUCGACCUAUCCAAGCUAAAAACAGAACUGACUGUAAUGUAUGCUAUGACUGAUUUUGAAGUGAAAAGUCCCUCUGAUCUCCUUGAUUUACUUAAGCAGAAAAAUCUGAAUGAGGACAUGGGGCAAUUUUACACAUUGGCAUGUGUGACAGUGACUAUCCCUGUGUCCACGGCUUUUGUCGAGCGGUCAUUCUCGGCCUUAAAGCGAAUCAAAACGUAUUCCAGAAAUGCUACUGGACAGACCCGGCUUUCAGCAUUAGCCUCCAUGUCGAUAGAAAAGGACUUAUUGGUGGAACUAAAACGCACAGAUAGACUGUACAACAGAGUCAUUGAAGUCUUCUUGAGGAAAGAAAGGAGGAAGGAUUUUGUGUUCAAAUAAUCAGUCUUUGCUGGAUGACCUACAGAGCUGGCAGACUUUGAGCAAGAGGGAAGUCAAUCCGGAUUGGAACAGAGGAUCCUGGGGCAUGGAGACAGUGGUGUGGUGUAUAGAGCGGGGAGCGGGCGCCCAUGUGCUGACUUUUUACUCCAGCGGGGGUUUGUCAGCACAGGUUGGCCCGACACAGGAGUCGGUUUCAGAGGGUUGCUUAGGCAACGAGGUGGAAGACACUCAGUUGUGAAGAAAGACCGCAAAAGUGACUUUGGGGCGUUGACAAGGAGGAGAAAUCUGCCAGUGGUCUCAAGAGACAUUUUAUAUUGACCUACUACCAGGACUAACAAUAUUUAUAAUCACCUUGGGAACUUAAGUUUUUUUUUUUUUUUUCAGACGCAGUGUGCCAGAACAAAGUUAUCUAACAAAUUAGUUAUAGUCUACCAGUCAUGGGGGAAUAAAAAAAAAUGCAUGGAAGUCCAGUCUUUUCUAUUCCAGAAGGUUCAAUUCAAAAUUGUAUUUGUAACAAGCGCCGAAUACAACCUUACCGUGAAAUGCUUACUUAAAAGCCCUUAACUAACAAAGCAGUUCAAGAAAUAGAGUUAAGAAAAUAUUUGCUAAAUAAACUGAAGUAAAAAAAUCUAAUAAAAAGUAAUACAAUGAAAUAACGAUAACUAGGCUUCAUACAAGGGUACCGGUACCGAGUCAAUAUGCGGGGGUAUAGGUUAGUCAAGGUCAUUUGUAUAUGUUCAGAAGAGUGUGUUGUCAUUCGACAUUAAAGAGAGAGGUUCCCCUGAACUGGAAAAUUGCAAAUAAGUGAAGAACAUUCAAAGACGCAUGAAGAUAGAAAGUCAAGGGUAUAGAUGAGGAAGGAGGAAUAUUUUCACCCUGAUGGGUUAUUGCUUGUCUGAUGAACCCUUAUCCUCCUCCCCAUGUCUUUGGCUGACGAGGAGGAGGCUACUGUGAGAGGCAGUGAUUCAGAAAGUGCUAAGUGAUCUAAAUGCCUGGGCUUAUGUCACGGAGGGAGGAAGGAUGAACGUGGCGGCGAGUAGUGUUUAAUCGGGAGUUCACCUCUCACUCAUAGAGACUCAUGCGGUACACAUCCACAGGUGUUGGGAGAGGCGCGCGUGUGUGUGUGUGUGUUGUCGCUCUUGAUCUUAACCAGCUGUGAAGAAUGGCGACGGUGUGGCCAUCCUUGCUCAUCAGAUAAAAUGAGGACCUGGCCUGGGCAGUGGAGGCUGCUGAGGGGACGACGGCUCAUAAUACUGUCUGGAAUGGAGUCAAUGGAAUGGUAUCCAACACGUGAUUGAUACCAUUCCAUUUACUACAUUCCAGGCAUUAUUGCGAGCUGUCCUCCCCUCAGCAGCCUCCCCUUGGCCUGGAGUUUGUCCUAAUAUUCUAGGAUGGCUCCUAUAACUGUGUUGUAAACUGUUAUGAUGAAAUCAAGUGACGUGCCCCACUAAAUGUGGUAUGAUAUACAUUUUUCUGCUAUGACAUGGACUAAAAUGUAGAAAAACUCAACUUUUUGCAUGGAAUGUGCAUUUUCCAACACAUCACAUCAAAUAACAAUGCCAGUUGAAUGAUCACUAGUCAACAUUAAGAACAGUACUUUUUUUAUUUUUUUAUUCCCCUCAUGCAGAAACUUUCUCAGUCUUCAUAGAGGGUCUUCAAAGUUCCCGCACAAAUUGUGUGGGGGGCAGUUAUGGGGACAUCGCAGAAACAUUUACACUGAUAAAGUGUCACUCAACAAACGUGUGCGUGUGGGUGGUCAGGCUAUUAGAACACAAUAGUCUUCCCACCAUCAGCACCACUCCUCCAGGCAACAAUGCUAUGUAGGUAGACGCUCCUCGAACCUUCAAGAGGAGAAGGACGGAGAGAAGCACCAUGCUGUGGUGAUCAAACGACUCCCUCCAAUCCUGGAGAUCAGUACUUUAAGACUUCCUCAGGCUGUCACGCAAACUGCUGACGCGGACAAACGCCGCUCUGUCAGCUAUUGUAGAGGAACACGGACUUCCUCCUAGACAGACGUACAGCCGCCCGCCGCCGCUGCUGCUGUUGUUACUGUUGGGCUGCACUCUCAUUUGCAAUAGAAAGAAGGAGUAAGAGAUGCUUUUUUUAUUUCAGGACUCCAUAAUAUUCCAUGUUUUGUCCUACAGGCAUUUAACAUCCAUUAAAUGAAGUAGUUAUCUGUCAUGUGUGCACGCAUGACCGUAAGUCGCUUUGGAUAAAAGCGUCUGCUAAGCGGCAUGUAUUAUAUUAUAUAUUAUGCUGGAAGAUAACUUUUAUAAAUAUUCUUCCGUUAGUGUGCUACAACCACUUGGUGAGAUGAGGCCUGAGGAAGUGAAUGUGUCACUGAAUCUUUUCGGUAUGUCUUUAUACGCUGAUGGAACGGUUCACUUGUUCUGCCCUAUAAAGUUGAUCCUCCCUUCCGGGUCUUCACACUCAUCAUAUUUUCUAACCAGGUUCUCACACACCCACAACUAAUCACCCAUGCUCCGAAAACAAAUAUUAAUAUCUAAUAUUAUUCUUUUGUUCUAUUGAGUGAAUAAUGCAUACACCAGCUAAGUUCAUUAUCUUCAAGGGUGGCCUAUUAAUGUAUGAAUAAAAUCAAUGAUAAUAUGCCA